ACUCCUACGGGAGGCAGCAGUGGGGAAUAUUGCAGCAAUGGGCGCAAGCCUGGAACUGCAGCCAUGCCGCGUGUGUGAAGAAGGCCUUCGGGUUGUAAAGCACUUUCAGUCGUGAGGAAGGUAGUGUAGUUAAUAGCUGCAUUAUUUGACGUUAGCGACAGAAGAAGCACCGGCUAACUCCGUGCCAGCAGCCGCGGUAAUACGGAGGGUGCGAGCGUUAAUCGGAAUUACUGGGCGUAAAGCGCAUGCAGGUGGUUUGUUAAGUCAGAUGUGAAAGCCCGGGGCUCAACCUCGGAAUUGCAUUUGAAACUGGCAGACUAGAGUACUGUAGAGGGGGUGA
Molecule: ribosomal RNA, 340 nt
Filed under: uncultured bacterium
Lineage: Bacteria
Description: bacterial SSU rRNA
Rfam family: Bacterial small subunit ribosomal RNA
Source: RNAcentral